CAUUUUUGAUUGGACGAGAUUUCUGGUAGAAAAGUUGUUUACAUACAGACAGAGAAAAAAGCACACAUAGUAAAAUCAAUACAUUCUUUACUCUGAUCGGAAUCUAAGAUAUAAUAAUAUAGUCAAGUUAAACAACCUCCGAGGUGUGCCCGGGAAUUUUCAACGAGACUAAUUGUAGGGGAUAUAGACAAUUUUGAUUAUAAAUAUUUGAUCAUCUAUAUAUUCUAUAAAUAUUCUUUGUCGAAUUAGACAUUUAAACAAUUUAAAAUCCGCUUCCGAAAAACCAAAUUUUUAAUCAAUAAAUCACACUUUUCC
Molecule: non-coding RNA, 315 nt
Organism: Cinara cedri
Lineage: Eukaryota; Metazoa; Arthropoda; Insecta; Hemiptera; Aphididae
Source: the annotation of a GenBank genome assembly